ACAUUCAGCCAGGGCGAUAAAAAGCUCUCGAGUCUUUGUGCGCAAACCUCUUUCGUUUUGGUAGUAAACUGUGAGUCCUCGCUUGCGAUUUGGGUCCACGGGUGAGGCGUACUGCGUGCUAGCGUCGUAUGAACAGCUGAUAGUUCGUCGAAUUGUUCUCUCUCGCUGAGUUCAGGAUGAGUGGAAUUGUUUACGAAUUUUGUCGUCGAUGCCGUCGGUGCAGAAAAUCGUGCAACUCUGGAUGGAUCCACGGGAGCGGGUAAGGAAUGUGGUUGCUAGGCAGUAAGUGGUAAUGCAAUAGCUCUUGUUUUCUCGUAGGGCGAGAUAACUAUACCGGCUGGCCAGAAUCCGUUUGCGGUAAGUGUAGCCGCAAAGUUUUUUUGAACGGAAAGUUUGAACGAGAUGUAACUUGUUCUUUUUCCCAACUUAGUCAUGAUGCUACAAGUAACAGCAGAUUCUGGGACAUUUUUUGACGUGAUAAACUUAACGACGUCAGCACAGGAUGUUGUAGGAGUGAAGUUCCGUACGCAGUAGGUUUUUUGCUACGUUGUCCGGAAGAAAAAGGCGCUAGCGCGUGAAUGUUCGGUGGAUAAAAUUGACCAGGGGGCUGCAUAAGCCAAUUAUUCGCCGGGUAGUUGGGCGGUUGCAUGUUGAACGGAUGCCACAUUGGCGGAUAGUAAAAGGUGCCUGAUUUGCGAUAAAGGGAACUGUAUUGACUUGUGUCAAAGGUGCAGUGUGGACGACCGAGUCUAUAGGGAGCUGAGCAGUUGGUACAUUGAUCGACUGUUGGACAGCAUCGUUGAUUCGGUUCGCUGAGGCAGUGGCAGUUGGUUAGAAGAAGUAGAUGGCAAAGAAGAAGUGCGCUUGUUAUGCGAUCCGUUUGAAGGUUCGGCUUUGCGCUUCCGAGAAACUUGGUGGCCUUCGUCAUCGAGGUUGAUUCCACAAAACAGACGAUCCAUGGAAGCAUCUAAUGACUCGCGAACUCUGUCGUGGAUAACGGAGAAGGGGUCUUCUGGGCGAGCUGGUAACGAGGAACGAACCGACAUCAGCUCGACGUUGAUAGCGUUUGAUGUUGCUGAUACAGCAGCGAGUUCGGUUAUCAUUUUGGAGUUGGUAUCUAACUUCAUCGUC
Molecule: long non-coding RNA, 1131 nt
Organism: Uranotaenia lowii
Lineage: Eukaryota; Metazoa; Arthropoda; Insecta; Diptera; Culicidae
Exons: 5
Source: RefSeq, a predicted model, not a curated record